This 760-nucleotide long non-coding RNA is filed under the name Linum usitatissimum (flax). RNAcentral describes it as "long non-coding RNA (LUSI_LNC005513)". The record is from RNAcentral. Lineage: Eukaryota; Viridiplantae; Streptophyta; Magnoliopsida; Malpighiales; Linaceae.
CUCCUCCGCCACCUCCGCCGGGAGGGCAGCUGGAGCAAGGUGGCGAUGGGGUGACAAACGGUGGUGGGUUGACAAACGGCGGAGGGUUGACGAACGGCGGCGGAUUUGUGAUCGGAGGAGGGUUGAUGAACGGAGGGUUUGUGAAUGGAGGAGGGUUGACCACCGGAGGAGGUCUGACUGGAGGGUUUGUGAUCGGAGGUAGGAUUAUGGGUGGCAUCGGUGGGCCCAUUGACGGUGGAUUAUGUCCUUUGCCUCCUGAUCCACCACCUCCAUGUCCUCCACCACCGCCACCUCCAUGUCCUCCACCACCGCCACCUCCAUGUCCUCCACCACCACCACCUCCAUGUCCUCCACCACUGCCACCUCCGCCGCCACCGCCACCAUGAUGAGGAGGCUGGGUCCACCGCCACCUCCAUGCCCACCACCACCUCCGCUGCCGCCACCACCGCCUCCACCUCCGCCUCCAUGUCCUCCACCGCCGCCGCCCCCGUGAGGAGGUGGGCCGUAGGAAGGUGGGUGAGGGUGAGUGCAAGGGGUGCAAGCAUAAAUGGGGGGUAAGGAGAUGAGCAUCAAGAGCAUGGAGAUGAAGAACAUGGCUAGUAAAGCCUUUGGAUAGCCCAUGAUGAUCAUGGGUGCAAAGUGAGUGUUAGGGUUCCUACGAUGGAAAGUGUGAUUAGGGUUUUGGCUUAUGGUGUCUAGGAAAUGAUCAGAGGUUUUUAUAUAGUUGAAGACACGUUGGGUAUAAGGCACAACCCGUGAC